UUGACCUCGGAUCAGGUAAGGAAACCCAACUUCCCU
RNAcentral lists this ribosomal RNA (36 nucleotides) under Trichoderma trixiae. RNAcentral's name for it is "partial 28S ribosomal RNA". The record is from RNAcentral. Lineage: Eukaryota; Fungi; Ascomycota; Sordariomycetes; Hypocreales; Hypocreaceae.